Molecule: ribosomal RNA, 403 nt
Filed under: uncultured bacterium
Lineage: Bacteria
Description: bacterial SSU rRNA
Rfam family: Bacterial small subunit ribosomal RNA
Source: RNAcentral
UGAGGAAUAUUGCGCAAUGGGGGCAACCCUGACGCAGCGACGUCGCGUGAAUGAUGAAGUCUCUAGGGAUGUAAAGUUCUGUCAAGAGGGAGUAUAAUGAUAGUACCUCUAAAGGAAGCUCCGGCUAAUUACGUGCCAGCAGCCGCGGUAAUACGUAAGGAGCGAACGUUAUCCGGAUUUACUGGGUAUAAAGUGCGCGUAGGCGGUUACUUAAGUUAGGUGUUAAAUCCUUUAGCUCAACUAAAGUCUGCAUCUAAAACUGGGUAACUAGAGAGUAGUAGAGGAAAGCGGAACUCACAGUGUAGCGGUGAAAUGCAUAGAUAUUGUGAGGAACACCGGUUGCGAAGGCGGCUUUCUGGCCUAUUUCUGACGCUGAGGUGCGAAAGCGUGGGGAGCGAACGGG